CCUACGGGCGGCAGCAGUGAGGAAUAUUGGUCAAUGGGCGCGAGCCUGAACCAGCCAAGUAGCGUGAAGGAUGACUGCCCUACGGGUUGUAAACUUCUUUUAUAAAGGAAUAAAGUGAGGCACGUGUGCCUUUUUGUAUGUACUUUAUGAAUAAGGAUCGGCUAACUCCGUGCCAGCAGCCGCGGUAAUACGGAGGAUGCAAGCGUUGUCCGGAAUCAUUGGGUGUAAAGAGUUCGUAGGCGGGAUGUUAAGUCAGUUGGUAAAGUCUCAGGCUCAACCUGAGAAUGGCAAUUGAUACUUGCAAGCUGGAAUGCGGUAGAGGUAGGGGGAAUUCCGGGGGUAGCGGUGAAAUGCUUAGAUAUCAGGAAGAACAUCGGUGGCGAAAGCACUCUACUGGGCCGUAAUUGACGCUGAUGAACGAAAGCGAGGGUAGCAAAUGGGAUUAGAUACCCCAGUAGUC
This 460-nucleotide ribosomal RNA is filed under the name uncultured bacterium. RNAcentral's name for it is "partial 16S ribosomal RNA". It matches the Rfam family "Bacterial small subunit ribosomal RNA", at positions 338 to 795 of the family's 1533-position model. The record is from RNAcentral.